RNAcentral lists this ribosomal RNA (1551 nucleotides) under Bacillus subtilis. Its description in RNAcentral is "bacterial SSU rRNA". It matches the Rfam family "Bacterial small subunit ribosomal RNA". Lineage: Bacteria; Bacillati; Bacillota; Bacilli; Caryophanales; Bacillaceae. The record is from RNAcentral.
AUUAGAGUUUGAUCUGGCUCAGGACGAACGCUGGCGGCGUGCCUAAUACAUGCAAGUCGAGCGGACAGGUGGGAGCUUGCUCCCUGAUGUUAGCGGCGGACGGGUGAGUAACACGUGGGUAACCUGCCUGUAAGACUGGGAUAACUCCGGGAAACCGGGGCUAAUACCGGAUGGUUGUUUGAACCGCAUGGUUCAAACAUAAAAGGUGGCUUCGGCUGCCACUUACAGAUGGACCCGCGGCGCAUUAGCUAGUUGGUGAGGUAACGGCUCACCAAGGCAACGAUGCGUAGCCGACCUGAGAGGGUGAUCGGCCACACUGGGACUGAGACACGGCCCAGACUCCUACGGGAGGCAGCAGUAGGGAAUCUUCCGCAAUGGACGAAAGUCUGACGGAGCAACGCCGCGUGAGUGAUGAAGGUUUUCGGAUCGUAAAGCUCUGUUGUUAGGGAAGAACAAGUACCGUUCGAAUAGGGCGGUACCUUGACGGUACCUAACCAGAAAGCCACGGCUAACUACGUGCCAGCAGCCGCGGUAAUACGUAGGUGGCAAGCGUUGUCCGGAAUUAUUGGGCGUAAAGGGCUCGCAGGCGGUUUCUUAAGUCUGAUGUGAAAGCCCCCGGCUCAACCGGGGAGGGUCAUUGGAAACUGGGGAACUUGAGUGCAGAAGAGGAGAGUGGAAUUCCACGUGUAGCGGUGAAAUGCGUAGAGAUGUGGAGGAACACCAGUGGCGAAGGCGACUCUCUGGUCUGUAACUGACGCUGAGGAGCGAAAGCGUGGGGAGCGAACAGGAUUAGAUACCCUGGUAGUCCACGCCGUAAACGAUGAGUGCUAAGUGUUUAGGGGGGUUUCCGCCCCUUAGUGCUGCAGCUAACGCAUUAAGCACUCCGGCCUGGGGAGUACGGUCGCAAGACUGAAACUCAAAGGAAUUGACGGGGGCCCGCACAAGCGGUGGAGCAUGGUGGUUUAAGUUCGAAGCAACGCGGAGGACCUUACCAGGUCUUGGACAUCCUCUGAACAAUCCUAGAGAUAGGACGUCCCCUUCGGGGGCAGAGUGACAGGUGGUGCAUGGUUGUCGUCAGCUCGUGUCGUGAGAUGUUGGGUUAAGUCCCGCAACGAGCGCAACCCUUGAUCUUAGUUGCCAGCAUUCAGUUGGGCACUCUAAGGUGACUGCCGGUGACAAACCGGAGGAAGGUGGGGAUGACGUCAAAUCAUCAUGCCCCUUAUGACCUGGGCUACACACGUGCUACAAUGGACAGAACAAAGGGUAGCGAAACCGCGAGGUUAAGCCAAUCCCACAAAUCUGUUCUCAGUUCGGAUCGCAGUCUGCAACUCGACUGCGUGAAGCUGGAAUCGCUAGUAAUCGCGGAUCAGCAUGCCGCGGUGAAUACGUUCCCGGGCCUUGUACACACCGCCCGUCACACCACGAGAGUUUGUAACACCCGAAGUCGGUGAGGUAACCUUUUAGGAGCCAGCCGCCGAAGGUGGGACAGAUGAUUGGGGUGAAGUCGUAACAAGGUAGCCGUAUCGGAAGGUGCGGCUGGAUCACCUCAAU